This 178-nucleotide ribosomal RNA is filed under the name Epichloe coenophiala. RNAcentral describes it as "partial 17S ribosomal RNA". It matches the Rfam family "Eukaryotic small subunit ribosomal RNA", at positions 1652 to 1830 of the family's 1831-position model. The record is from RNAcentral. RNAcentral also lists the same sequence under 1 other name. Lineage: Eukaryota; Fungi; Ascomycota; Sordariomycetes; Hypocreales; Clavicipitaceae.
CCUGCCUUUGUACACACGCCCGUCGCUACUACCGAUUGAAUGGCUCAGUGAGGCGUCCGACUGGCCCAGAGAGGUGGGCAACUACCACUCAGGGCCGGAAAGCUCUCCAAACUCGGUCAUUUAGAGGAAGUAAAAGUCGUAACAAGGUCUCCGUUGGUGAACCAGCGGAGGGAUCAUU